GCCAUAGAUGGCUUUAUUAAGUUUUAAC
RNAcentral lists this small RNA (28 nucleotides) under Bombyx mori (domestic silkworm). RNAcentral's name for it is "ovarian small RNA-16614". The record is from RNAcentral. Lineage: Eukaryota; Metazoa; Arthropoda; Insecta; Lepidoptera; Bombycidae.